GCCGGGCAUGGUGGCGCGUGCCUGUAAGCCAAGCUGCUCCAGAGGUUGAGACAGGAGGAUGGCAAGGUCAAAGCCAGUCUCAGCAAGGGCAUGGUGCUAAGCAACUUAGUGAGACCCUGUCUCUA
This 125-nucleotide small RNA is filed under the name Marmota monax (woodchuck). The record is from RNAcentral. Lineage: Eukaryota; Metazoa; Chordata; Mammalia; Rodentia; Sciuridae.